This 27-nucleotide non-coding RNA is filed under the name Rattus norvegicus (Norway rat). The record is from RNAcentral. Lineage: Eukaryota; Metazoa; Chordata; Mammalia; Rodentia; Muridae.
UCACCUGCGUCAUGGAAAGCACCUGAA